Molecule: unclassified non-coding RNA, 353 nt
Filed under: soil metagenome
Description: partial contains 5.8S ribosomal RNA, internal transcribed spacer 2, and large subunit ribosomal RNA
Rfam family: 5.8S ribosomal RNA (bases 1-120)
Source: RNAcentral
GAUGAAGAACGUAGCGAAAUGCGAUAAGUAAUGUGAAUUGCAGAAUUCAGUGAAUCAUCGAAUCUUUGAACGCACAUUGCGCCCGCCAGUAUUCUGGCGGGCAUGCCUGUUCGAGCGUCAUUACAACCCUCAGGCCCCCGGGCCUGGCGUUGGGGAUCGGCGGAAGCCCCCUGCGGGCACAACGCCGUCCCCCAAAUACAGUGGCGGUCCCGCCGCAGCUUCCAUUGCGUAGUAGCUAACACCUCGCAACUGGAGAGCGGCGCGGCCACGCCGUAAAACACCCAACUUCUGAAUGUUGACCUCGAAUCAGGUAGGAAUACCCGCUGAACUUAAGCAUAUCAAUAAGCGAAGGA